This 253-nucleotide ribosomal RNA is filed under the name uncultured bacterium. Its description in RNAcentral is "partial 16S ribosomal RNA". It matches the Rfam family "Bacterial small subunit ribosomal RNA", at positions 524 to 776 of the family's 1533-position model. The record is from RNAcentral.
AACGUAGGGCCCGAGCGUUGUCCGGAAUCACUGGGUGUAAAGGGUGCGUAGGCGGGCGUGCGCGUCUGGGGUGAAAGGCUCCGGCUCAACCGGAGACAUGCCCUGGGUACGGCACGUCUUGGGUGCGGGAGAGGGCGAUGGAAUUCCUGGUGUAGCGGUGAAAUGCGUAGAUAUCAGGAGGAGCACCGGUGGCGAAGGCGGUCGCGGGGCCCGCAACCGACGCUGAGGCACGAAAGCGUGGGGAGCAAACAGG